Molecule: ribosomal RNA, 463 nt
Filed under: uncultured Alphaproteobacteria bacterium
Lineage: Bacteria; Pseudomonadati; Pseudomonadota; Alphaproteobacteria
Description: bacterial SSU rRNA
Rfam family: Bacterial small subunit ribosomal RNA
Source: RNAcentral
GAGGGGCCCGCGUCGGAUUAGCUAGUUGGUGGGGUAACGGCCUACCAAGGCUAUGAUCCGUAGCUGGUCUGAGAGGAUGAUCAGCCACACUGGGACUGAGACACGGCCCAGACUCCUACGGGAGGCAGCAGUGGGGAAUAUUGGACAAUGGGCGAAAGCCUGAUCCAGCAAUGCCGCGUGAGUGAGGAAGGCCUUAGGGUUGUAAAGCUCUUUCGGCGGGGACGAUGAUGACGGUACCCGCAGAAGAAGCCCCGGCUAACUUCGUGCCAGCAGCCGCGGUAAUACGAAGGGGGCGAGCGUUGUUCGGAUUUACUGGGCGUAAAGGGCGCGCAGGCGGUCCUGUUUGUCGAGUGUGAAAGCCCCGGGCUCAACCUGGGAACUGCGCUCGAAACGGCGGGACUAGAGUUCGGGAGAGGAGAGUGGAAUUCCCAGUGUAGAGGUGAAAUUCGUAGAUAUUGGGAAG